UGGGGAAUAUUGCGCAAUGGGGGCAACCCUGACGCAGCAACGCCGCGUGAUUGAAGAAGGCCUUCGGGUUGUAAAGAUCUUUAAUCAGGGACGAAGAAUGACGGUACCUGAAGAAUAAGCUCCGGCUAACUACGUGCCAGCAGCCGCGGUAAUACGUAGGGAGCAAGCGUUAUCCGGAUUUACUGGGUGUAAAGGGCGCGCAGGCGGGCCGGCAAGUUGGGAGUGAAAUCCGGGGGCUUAACCCCCGAACUGCUUUCAAAACUGCUGGUCUUGAGUGAUGGAGAGGCAGGCGGAAUUCCGUGUGUAGCGGUGAAAUGCGUAGAUAUACGGAGGAACACCAGUGGCGAAGGCGGCCUGCUGGACAUUAACUGACGCUGAGGCGCGAAAGCGUGGGGAGCAAACA
This 403-nucleotide ribosomal RNA is filed under the name uncultured bacterium. RNAcentral's name for it is "bacterial SSU rRNA". It matches the Rfam family "Bacterial small subunit ribosomal RNA", at positions 355 to 774 of the family's 1533-position model. The record is from RNAcentral.